This 154-nucleotide ribosomal RNA is filed under the name uncultured eukaryote. Its description in RNAcentral is "partial small subunit ribosomal RNA". It matches the Rfam family "Eukaryotic small subunit ribosomal RNA", at positions 1651 to 1803 of the family's 1831-position model. The record is from RNAcentral.
CCCUGCCAUUUGUACACACCGCCCGUCGCUCCUACCGAUUGGAUGGUCCGGUGAGGUUUUCGGAUUGGCGCAAUGUUUUGGUUCUCCGAUCGCUGUGCCGAGAAGUCACCCAAACCUUAUCAUCUAGAGGAAGGAGAAGUCGUAACAAGGUUUC